CACUCACGUUGGAACGACCGAGUGCACCAAACGCUCCGGCGCUGCAGGAUGUGGCUGCGGCCGAUUAGGUAGACGGUGGGGUAACGGCCCACCGUGCCGAUAAUCGGUACGGGUUGUGAGAGCAAGAGCCCGGAGACGGAAUCUGAGACAAGAUUCCGGGCCCUACGGGGCGCAGCAGGCGCGAAACCUUUACACUGCACGACAGUGCGAUAAGGGGACCCCAAGUGCGAGGGCAUACAGUCCUCGCUUUUGUGUACCGUAAGGUGGUACACGAAUAAGAGCUGGGCAAGACCGGUGCCAGCCGCCGCGGUAAUACCGGCAGCUCGAGUGAUGACCGAUUUUAUUGGGCCUAAAGCGUCCGUAGCUGGCCGCGUAGGUUCGUCGGGAAAUCCAUCCGCUCAACGGAUGGGCGUCCGGCGAAAACCACGUGGCUUGGGACCGGAAGGCUCGAGGGGUACGUCCGGGGUAGGAGUGAAAUCCCGUAAUCCUGGACGGACCGCCGAUGGCGAAAGCACCUCGAGAAGACGGAUCCGACAGUGAGGGACGAAAGCUGGGGUCUCGAACCGGAUUAGAUACCCGGGUAGUCCCAGCCGUAAACAAUGCCAAUUAGGUGUGGCACCGACUACGAGUCGGUGCUGUGCCGUAGGGAAGCCGAUAAACAGGCCGCCUGGGAAGUACGUCCGCAAGGAUGAAACUUAAAGGAAUUGGCGGGGGAGCACUACAACCGGAGGAGCCUGCGGUUUAAUUGGACUCAACGCCGGACAUCUCACCAGCAUCGACUGUAGCAAUGAUCAUCAGGUUGAUGACCUCUAUGUUGAGCUACAGAGAGGAGGUGCAUGGCCGCCGUCAGCUCGUACCGUGAGGCGUCCUGUUAAGUCAGGCAACGAGCGAGACCCGCACUCUUAAUUGCCAGCAUCGCGUUCGCGCGGAUGGGUACAUUAGGAGGACUGCCGCUGCUAAAGCGGAGGAAGGAACGGGCAACGGUAGGUCAGUAUGCCCCGAAUGUGCUGGGCUACACGCGGGCUACAAUGGCCGAGACAAUGGGUUCCUACCUCGAAAGAGGAUGGUAAUCUCAGAAACUCGGUCGUAG
Molecule: ribosomal RNA, 1090 nt
Filed under: Halogranum sp. KeN-03
Lineage: Archaea; Methanobacteriati; Methanobacteriota; Halobacteria; Halobacteriales; Haloferacaceae
Description: bacterial SSU rRNA
Rfam family: Archaeal small subunit ribosomal RNA
Source: RNAcentral